Molecule: ribosomal RNA, 551 nt
Filed under: uncultured bacterium
Lineage: Bacteria
Description: bacterial SSU rRNA
Rfam family: Bacterial small subunit ribosomal RNA
Source: RNAcentral
UAGGGAAUCUUCGGCAAUGGGGGGAACCCUUGACCGAGCAACGCCGCGUGAGUGAAGAAGGUUUUCGGAUCGUAAAGCUCUGUUGUUAAGGAAGAACGAGUGUGAGAAUGGAAAGUUCAUACUGUGACGGUACUUAACCAGAAAGGGACGGCUAACUACGUGCCAGCAGCCGCGGUAAUACGUAGGUCCCGAGCGUUGUCCGGAUUUAUUGGGCGUAAAGCGAGCGCAGGCGGUUAGAAAAGUCUGAAGUGAAAGGCAGUGGCUCAACCAUUGUAGGCUUUGGAAACUGUUUAACUUGAGUGCAGAAGGGGAGAGUGGAAUUCCAUGUGUAGCGGUGAAAUGCGUAGAUAUAUGGAGGAACACCGGUGGCGAAAGCGGCUCUCUGGUCUGUAACUGACGCUGAGGCUCGAAAGCGUGGGGAGCGAACAGGAUUAGAUACCCUGGUAGUCCACGCCGUAAACGAUGAGUGCUAGGUGUUAGGUCCUUUCCGGGACUUAGUGCCGCAGCUAACGCAUUAAGCACUCCGCCUGGGGAGUACGACCGCAAGNUUG